CCUACGGGUGGCAGCAGUGAGGAAUAUUGGUCAAUGGACGGAAGUCUGAACCAGCCAUGCCGCGUGCAGGAAGACGGCUCUAUGAGUUGUAAACUGCUUUUGUACAAGGGUAAACCUGAAUACGUGUAUUCAGAUGAAAGUACUGUACGAAUAAGGAUCGGCUAACUCCGUGCCAGCAGCCGCGGUAAUACGGAGGAUCCAAGCGUUAUCCGGAUUUAUUGGGUUUAAAGGGUGCGUAGGCGGAUUGAUAAGUUAGAGGUGAAAGUUCCGGGCUUAACUCGGGAACUGCCACUAAUACUGUUGAUCUAGAGAGUAGAUGCGGUAGGCGGAAUUCAUGGUGUAGCGGUGAAAUGCUUAGAGAUCAUACAGAACACCGAUUGCGAAGGCAGCUUACCAAUCUAUAUCUGACGUUGAGGCACGAAAGCGUGGGGAGCAAACAGGAUUAGAUACCCCGGUAGUC
RNAcentral lists this ribosomal RNA (460 nucleotides) under uncultured bacterium. RNAcentral describes it as "partial 16S ribosomal RNA". It matches the Rfam family "Bacterial small subunit ribosomal RNA", at positions 338 to 795 of the family's 1533-position model. The record is from RNAcentral.